This 404-nucleotide ribosomal RNA is filed under the name uncultured bacterium. RNAcentral's name for it is "bacterial SSU rRNA". It matches the Rfam family "Bacterial small subunit ribosomal RNA", at positions 355 to 776 of the family's 1533-position model. The record is from RNAcentral.
UGGGGAAUAUUGGACAAUGGGGGCAACCCUGAUCCAGCCAUGCCGCGUGAGUGAAGAAGGCCUUCGGGUUGUAAAGCUCUUUCAGAUGCGAAGAUGAUGACGGUAACAUCAGAAGAAGCCCCGGCUAAUUUCGUGCCAGCAGCCGCGGUAAUACGAAAGGGGCUAGCGUUGUUCGGAUUUACUGGGCGUAAAGGGCACGCAGGCGGUCUUGCCAGUCAGGGGUGAAAGCCCGGGGCUCAACCCCGGAACUGCCUCUGAUACUGCAAGACUAGAGACUAGGAGAGGGUGGUGGAAUUCCCAGUGUAGAGGUGAAAUUCGUAGAUAUUGGGAGGAACACCAGAGGCGAAGGCGGCCACCUGGACUAGAUCUGACGCUCAGGUGCGAAAGCGUGGGGAGCAAACAGG